GACAGCCAGCCUAUUUAGAAAAUAUAGCCGCCAAGAAAAGCUGUGCCAGGGAAGAGGAGCACGUUUGUACCAAAGUCCAGUUUCACAAUGGGCUCAUUCCUUCUGCCAUUUAUACGAAGCCUCAGCUGAUCAGACUGAAACAUUCUUCUUGCUGGCUUCCUUCAUUUUAUUAAUAACCUGGCAACAGGAUAGGGGCCAGGAAAAAAGACCUCCUAGAAUGGAGGAUUUACUGAAGAAACCAGAAGUGAAAGACUACUCCUCCCACUGAAGUAAGUAUUUAUGUUAGCUGGUAAUUUAGCUCCACAAGGCAGUCAAGUGUUCAUUCAAAGUUACAUCCACCCUCUUUUUCAGACACCUAUAAUAGAUUGAAGUAAGGUAUGAUUAAAUACUGAGUUCUAUUUCCUGGUCUAACAGCUAUGCACACAAUUGCUGUGCUUGAUUUUAUGUCAUUAUUAAGUGUCGGAGAUCAUUUUUAACAGAAAACUAAUCUUACCUGAAAGUUCUCUAUAAAGCAUAAUAACUUAUUUAAGAUUAACUGCUGAAACACUCUAGAUUAUGUUUGACCAUUUAAAUCCUGAUCUAGAUAAAUCUACAAGAACAUAUACAUAAAUAUUGGAAAUCGAAGAAAAUGAUUGUGUUUCGUUUUUCCAGUUAAUAUGACUGUUUGAGAGGCUAAGAGCUAUAAGCAUAAGCUGAAGAGCACAUCAAAGUCAAAGCUGUUAAAAUAACAGAGCAGAAAGCAAACUAUUUUGCAGUCCAGGAAGUUACCAAGUCACGGGACUUCCCACAGACUAUCAGAAGCAUAAUUGCAGAGGAAGCAGAUGUUAGGUGACAAGCGAGGUUGCAAGGUCUCUCAUUUCAAAGGGAUCAUAAGGCAGAAAUCAGGCUGGAGCACUGGAAAGUGUGAGAUACCAGACAGAGAGGCAUGAAAUUGUAAGUACCCUAUUGUCUGAUUUCUCAUAUGUUCAGGAGGGCACAAUUUUGUGCUGGCGGAGUACCACCAAGACUGCACCUAACAACCAUAGAUUCCAUUAACAAUUCUCUUCCUUACGUAGCAACUAAAAAAUGCUGAGGCUUAUUCUAAUUAUUUCAGGAAAAGUAGGUGUUUGUGUUUUAGGAAGCUUAAGUAAGACACUAUAAAAUCAAGACUCUUACUGUUUUGUUUAAAGUUUACUCGAUGAUCUCUUGAGGUCCUUUCCAAACCCUGCGAUUCUGUGAAAUAUUGUAGUUAAAUGUUGCCUUUCGGUUUCUUUUUAGCACCACAGCUGGUAUUAAUCGAAACAGGCAGAGAGUAUUCAGAGUUGAUAAUGUAUUUAAAACUCAUCUUUUAAGCAGGUGGGAUAUUUUUCAGCUUCAGAACAAACAAUAUUUUUUUCGGGAACUAAAGGAGACUACAGUGAAAUCAGAUGCAAAGAAAUAGUGACCGUUUUCUCAACAUUGGAAUGUAAUCUUAUAUGAACUGAAACUUUAGCAACACAUGCUCAUUUGAAAGAAAAGAUAGUACUAAGUGCAACAGCAAGUAUAUCGUAAAAGUUUGGUGUGCAGAGUAUUUUUUUAGAAUGGCAGAAACUAUUCCUGUUCAGAAAUGAUUGUUCUGGCAACAGCUGAGAAAAAAAAAAAAAAAAGUAAAAUUAAUUAUCAUUAGUUAGAAAAACAUUGUUUACAUUUUUAGUCACCUAGUUUAGUAGACUGUAGCUAACAAUUGUAGCCUGUGAUUUCCAAAAAAGCUGGCACAUGUUUGAACCCAAAAUCAUAUAUCAUACUCAAAGAAUUGAUACUUUCCCCUUCUUGGAGAAUUUGUUUAUCAGUUAAUCUUCCUGAGAACAGAACAAAAUUAAAGACAAAUAUAAACAUUGGCAAUCACUGGCGGUUUCCAGACACAAAACAAUUAUUUGAGGAGGUUGCAAUAGGUUGUUUAUACAGUUCUUUAAUAUACCUGCUUCCUUCAUGUAAGAGAAGGAGGUAAUUUGUUUCUUUAUGUUCCCUAUCUGUAACGUUUUAUUCACAGUCACUAUUCAUGCCCUAGAAGUCUUCUGGUUUCUAAUAGGAGGACUAGUUUUGAAUUGUUUUGUUUUCUGAAGUAAGUGGAUGGUAAUACUCUUGAUGUGCUAGAAUUACUAAUUUGAAGUAGAGACCGACUACUGCUGUUUCUUGUAGGCUCCUUGUUCUAAAAAUAGGCUGUUGGGAUAAAUUUUAACUUGCUCAAAUUAGUGAUAUAUGCAGACAAAUUAUGUGAAGAGAAAGCAUAUCAAAAUUUUGAUUGCAUGGAGUUGAAAAUGCACAAAAGAUCACCUUGCCAAGAAGACACGAGGUGCAAGGGAAUGUAUGUUUUCUGUAAUUUCCUGCUUUGUGUAAUUUGCAUGUAAAAACUAAAAUGGCGACUUUUGUGCAGAGAUGUACAGGAGAUGUACAUGAAUUAUUCUAUUUUUACUAGAAUUAUGUAUUUUUAAUAGAAUUAUGUAUUUUUAAUAGAAUGAUGAUUAGACUACUAGUCACUAGAAAGUAGCAGCAUUCCAAAUGUAAGAGAGAGUAAAUGAGAGUGCUCGCCUGUAGUAGAUUUUAACACUUGGGUAUUGCAGGAAGAGACUAGUAAUUUUUUUUUUUAUUUUUAAUGAAAUUUCGGUGUAAAUUUCCGAAGACUUAUUUAACAGGAAAUUUUUAAGGCAUGGAUCUGCCUGAUGUGAGAAUGACAGUUGAAAACGUCACCAGAACAAUGUAUGAUUUUUGCACUGAACAACUGUAGCAAAAAAAAAAUCUUGACAUUAUUUCUAUAAAUAAACAUGACAGGCAUUAAAGGUGAGGAAUGUUA
Molecule: long non-coding RNA, 2809 nt
Filed under: Chrysolophus pictus (golden pheasant)
Lineage: Eukaryota; Metazoa; Chordata; Aves; Galliformes; Phasianidae
Description: lncRNA (ENSCPIG00010009175.1)
Source: RNAcentral